Molecule: long non-coding RNA, 1846 nt
Organism: Podarcis raffonei (Aeolian wall lizard)
Lineage: Eukaryota; Metazoa; Chordata; Lepidosauria; Squamata; Lacertidae
Exons: 2
Source: RefSeq, a predicted model, not a curated record
AUUUUAUCCUCACAAGAACCCUGUUAGUAGGGUCUCACUGAGAGAAAGCAGCUGGCUCCAGGUCACCUUAAGCCUCUGCUUUAGCCCAACAGCCUUAACAGCUGCACCUUAGUAGUGUAAAAGCCAGUUCUGAGAGGAAUGGGAAUUUAGUGGGGUGUGUGUGACUUGUGACGUAAUAUGACGUCCCAAACGUCAUGGUUCAUGGCUUCCGAACCGUCAUGCAUCUUGGGAAAGAGAACGCGCAUCGCGUAGGACCCUCCUUAUUACGUCCCUGCUGGGUUACCGUACCCUUGCUCGCCAGCCCGCCCGCCCGUCCCGCUAUUUGACUGCUGAGCUUGUGAUAGGCGGGCUGCUCUAACAGUCACUACCGCUUGCCCAAUACCGCGAGAGCUCUCGAGCGGCGCCGGCCAAUGGCACCUUUAGCUCGCGCAGCCCCUACUUCCCGAGCUCGCAAUAGUAUCCUAUGGAAGGGGAGAUCUUGCGCGCGCGUCCUUCCCCCUACGGUGUCCUUCAAAUGGCAUCGCCCACCGUAGAUCCUCCGCGGGGCGGUGGCGGGACAGACCAAAUGCAAUCUUUCGAGAGGGGUGAGCGUGUUUAAUGGAUAGGUAGGCUUGGUGCAAAGGCGGGUGAGGUUUUUAAUGUUAGAUACUGAGGUGGUAUUAGCAUUAUUAGCUUGACUGCCUUUUCUUUUCUCUCGGCAGGAAGGUGGGGGGCGCGAUUUCUGCAGUUGGUAUGGAGCAGGCUGAAGUUCCACCGGGAGAGUUUCCCCCCAGCCUUGCAUUCACUACCCAGAGGACACGAAGUGGCACAGAAGCGAAGAUGUAACCUGCUGUUGGAGGCCCUCUUCUGUCUUAAUCAGGAUCUCUGUUGGGGCCUUCUGCGUGCAAAGCAGGUGCAUUCCCACUGAGCUGCUGUCCUUUCUGCAUGGUGCUUUAAAAAUGCAAUAAGAGAGGCACUUUGAUCAUAGCUGCAGUAUUCAUGCUGAAGAGAGUUUGUGGCUCAGCAUCAUAUUCAGCCAUAGCAACGCUAUGAGUGGACCUAUCCUGCAGUUAAGCCAAGUUUCCAACACACCUGCUAGAAAUGGAACUUCCUGGCGGUGUCUAAACUCUGAAGUUUGUGAAAGGAACAAAGCUCUUGUUGAAGGAACCAUUAGUGCUGUUCUUGUAAUUAGUGCUGUUCAAGCUAAGCAGCUGUGAAUAAUUUGUAUGCAUCUAAGGCAUUACCUAUAGGGAUGCGGGUGGUGCUGUGGUCUAAACCACAGAGCCUAGGGCUUGCCGAUCAGGAGGUUGGCGGUUCGAAUCCCUGCGACGGGGUGAGCUCCUCUUGUUCGUCCCAGCUCCUGCCCACCUAGCAGUUUGAAAGCACGUCAAGUGAAAGUAGAUAAAUAUGUACCACUCUGGCAGGAAGGUAAACGGCGUUUCCUUGUGCUGCUCUGGUUUGCCAGAAGCGGUUUAGUCAUGCUGGCCACAUGACCCGGAAGCUGUCUGCAGACAAACAGCAGCUCCCUCGGCCAGUAAAGCAAGAUGAGCGCCGCAACCCCAGAGCCGCCCGCGACUGGACCUAAUGGUCAGGGGUACCAUUACCUCUACCUUUAAGGCAUUAUCAAUUAAUGUUCAUAUUUUCCAUUCAUCCAAACUUUAUUAGAUAUUUAUAUAAAUAUAGAUACAUAUAUAAUUUCUGAACUUUGAAGUCCGAGAAGAUACUUUUUAAUUUUUUUAAUGCUGUGUCUGAUGUAAUAAAGUAGAUCAUUAUUUGUAAAUUGAAUACAGUAAUAAAAAGUUUGAUAGUUAUUCAUAUUGAAUAUUAUAUUAAUAUAUUAUUAAAUAAAGCAUACCUUUGCACAAUU